UUUGAAGCUAAUUGGGGAAAGUGAAUAUAAAAAUUUAGCUAAAGGGGUUUGGGGAGUACGUGUACGAAAAUUUGAGAGUGUAUAGGUGUCGAAAUUGUGCUCCUCUUUUGGUUAGCCGUGUGCUUUUGGUGUUUUUCCUCUUAGUUUUUUUAUUCUUUUCGGGUUUCGGUCUUUUGUUGAUCGAAGUUGUCAUUCUCUUCUUUUCUUCUUUUUCUUAUGCAAACACUCUCUGUUGGCUGAAUGCUCGUUUGAGUUUUCUUUCCUUCCUCUUUCAGUUUUG
This 280-nucleotide long non-coding RNA is filed under the name Gossypium barbadense (sea-island cotton). RNAcentral describes it as "long non-coding RNA (GBAR_LNC007240)". The record is from RNAcentral. Lineage: Eukaryota; Viridiplantae; Streptophyta; Magnoliopsida; Malvales; Malvaceae.